Molecule: ribosomal RNA, 685 nt
Filed under: Salmonella enterica
Lineage: Bacteria; Pseudomonadati; Pseudomonadota; Gammaproteobacteria; Enterobacterales; Enterobacteriaceae
Description: partial 23S ribosomal RNA
Rfam family: Bacterial large subunit ribosomal RNA
Source: RNAcentral
UUAGUGGAAGCGUCUGGAAAGGCGCGCGAUACAGGGUGACAGCCCCGUACACAAAAGCGCAUGUGCUGUGAGCUCGAUGAGUAGGGCGGGACACGUGGUAUCCUGUCUGAAUAUGGGGGGACCAUCCUCCAAGGCUAAAUACUCCUGACUGACCGAUAGUGAACCAGUACCGUGAGGGAAAGGCGAAAAGAACCCCGGCGAGGGGAGUGAAAAAGAACCUGAAACCGUGUACGUACAAGCAGUGGGAGCCCCACCACUAAGCCAGUGGUGAACUCCACAUACGCAUCCUUUGCUGAGGAUACGGUUAACGGAGCGAAAGCGACGUUCAACCGCAAAAGAAGCAGAGGGGGCUUAGUGGUGGGGUGACUGCGUACCUUUUGUAUAAUGGGUCAGCGACUUAUAUUCUGUAGCAAGGUUAACCGAAUAGGGGAGCCGCAGGGAAACCGAGUCUUAACCGGGCGUUAAGUUGCAGGGUAUAGACCCGAAACCCGGUGAUCUAGCCAUGGGCAGGUUGAAGGUUGGGUAACACUAACUGGAGGACCGAACCGACUAAUGUUGAAAAAUUAGCGGAUGACCUGUGGCUGGGGGUGAAAGGCCAAUCAAACCGGGAGAUAGCUGGUUCUCCCCGAAAGCUAUUUAGGUAGCGCCUCGUGAAUUCAUCUCCGGGGGUAGAGCACUGUUUCGG